RNAcentral lists this transfer RNA (77 nucleotides) under Synergistales bacterium. RNAcentral describes it as "tRNA-Met". It matches the Rfam family "tRNA". From Rfam's summary of the family: Transfer RNA (tRNA) molecules are approximately 80 nucleotides in length. Their secondary structure includes four short double-helical elements and three loops (D, anti-codon, and T loops). Lineage: Bacteria; Thermotogati; Synergistota; Synergistia; Synergistales. The record is from RNAcentral.
CGCGGGGUGGAGCAGUCCGGCAGCUCAUCGGGCUCAUAACCCGAAGGUCACAGGUUCAAAUCCUGUCCCCGCAACCA